Molecule: ribosomal RNA, 445 nt
Filed under: uncultured bacterium
Lineage: Bacteria
Description: partial 16S ribosomal RNA
Rfam family: Bacterial small subunit ribosomal RNA
Source: RNAcentral
GUGAGGAAUAUUGGACAAUGGGCGCAAGCCUGAUCCAGCCAUGCCGCGUGCAGGAAGACGCAUCUAUGGUGUGUAAACUGCUUUUGUACGGGAAGAAACACUCCCUCGUGAGGGAGCUUGACGGUACCGUAAGAAUAAGGAUCGGCUAACUCCGUGCCAGCAGCCGCGGUAAUACGGAGGAUCCAAGCGUUAUCCGGAAUCAUUGGGUUUAAAGGGUCCGUAGGCGGUUUAAUAAGUCAGUGGUGAAAGCCCAUCGCUCAAAGAUGGAACGGCCAUUGAUACUGUUAGACUUGAAUUACAAGGAAGUAACUAGAAUAUGUAGUGUAGCGGUGAAAUGCUUAGAUAUUACAUGGAAUACCAAUUGCGAAGGCAGGUUACUACUUGUGGAUUGACGCUGAUGGACGAAAGCGUGGGGAGCGAACAGGAUUAGAUACCCUAGUAGUCC